AAAUAAGAAGUAAAAAUUACAUUUAGUUUCGACCUAAAAAUUGGCUCUUGCCCUUAUUUA
RNAcentral lists this transfer RNA (60 nucleotides) under Tenebrionoidea sp. 3 KM-2017. Its description in RNAcentral is "tRNA-Arg". The record is from RNAcentral. Lineage: Eukaryota; Metazoa; Arthropoda; Insecta; Coleoptera.